CAGUAGCCGCGGUAAUACGUAGGUGGCAAGCGUUGUCCGGAAUUAUUGGGCGUAAAGGGCUCGCAAGCGGUUUCUUAAGUCUGAUGUGAAAGCCCCCGGCUCAACCGGGGAGGGUCAUUGGAAACUGGGAAACUUGAGUGCAGAAGAGGAGAGUGGAAUUCCACGUGUAGCGGUGAAAUGCGUAGAGAUGUGGAGGAACACCAGUGGCGAAGGCGACUCUCUGGUCUGUAACUGACGCUGAGGAGCGAAAGCGUGGGGAGCGAACAGGAUUAGAUACCCGAGUAGUCCCUGUCUCUUAUAC
This 301-nucleotide ribosomal RNA is filed under the name uncultured bacterium. RNAcentral describes it as "partial 16S ribosomal RNA". It matches the Rfam family "Bacterial small subunit ribosomal RNA", at positions 509 to 807 of the family's 1533-position model. The record is from RNAcentral.